AGAGUUUUGAAUGACUAUUGAUGCCUAACAUAUUUUUACAUUACUUGCUUACUAUAGGGGACUUGUGUGAAAGCUCGGAUUGAGGAAUUAAAGAGUUUGAUGGCAUGGCAAUUGUGCUGUGGGGUCGGAUCAUAUGAUUAUUUCAUGGAUAGGAGUUGUAUUCUGAUUACUUGUUAAAUUAUCUAAUCAUUGUAAGUGGCUUGCUAAACCUUAUUAUUAAGUACAGCUCUGAGGUGUAGUUUGGGAAUUUUAGCUCUUUUGAAGUGUAAGUUGUCGUUUUUUAGAUUGCACGGGAUAAGCUUCCGUUGGUUACGCACUCUUGUCCCUUCUUAUUUUAUAUGAUUCUGAGAAGUUAUAUGUUAAAUAUGGCCUUGGUGAUGGUU
Long non-coding RNA from Rhododendron vialii, 383 nucleotides. RefSeq lists it as uncharacterized. The transcript is spliced from 2 exons. The record is from RefSeq and is a predicted model, not a curated record. Lineage: Eukaryota; Viridiplantae; Streptophyta; Magnoliopsida; Ericales; Ericaceae.